GUCCGUGCAUGGGAGGGGGCAUAACNUACAUGGAAACGGUAGCAUAAUACCGCAUAANGUCGCAAGACCAAAGAGGGGGACCUUCGGGCCUCUUGCCAUCAGAUGUGCCCAGAUGGGAUUAGCUAGUAGGUGGGGUAACGGCUCACCUAGGCGACGAUCCCUAGCUGGUCUGAGAGGAUGACCAGCCACACUGGAACUGAGACACGGUCCAGACUCCUACGGGAGGCAGCAGUGGGGAAUAUUGCACAAUGGGCGCAAGCCUGAUGCAGCCAUGCCGCGUGUAUGAAGAAGGCCUUCGGGUUGUAAAGUACUUUCAGCGGGGAGGAAGGUGUUGUGGUUAAUAACCNCAGCAAUUGACGUUACCCGCAGAAGAAGCACCGGCUAACUCCGUGCCAGCAGCCGCGGUAAUACGGAGGGUGCAAGCGUUAAUCGGAAUUACUGGGCGUAAAGCGCACGCAGGCGGUCUGUCAAGUCGGAUGUGAAAUCCCCGGGCUCAACCUGGGAACUGCAUUCGAAACUGGCAGGCUGGAGUCUUGUAGAGGGGGGUAGAAUUCCAGGUGUAGCGGUGAAAUGCGUAGAG
RNAcentral lists this ribosomal RNA (580 nucleotides) under Enterobacter cloacae. RNAcentral's name for it is "bacterial SSU rRNA". It matches the Rfam family "Bacterial small subunit ribosomal RNA", at positions 123 to 695 of the family's 1533-position model. The record is from RNAcentral. Lineage: Bacteria; Pseudomonadati; Pseudomonadota; Gammaproteobacteria; Enterobacterales; Enterobacteriaceae.